ACGCUGGCGGCGUGGAUUAGGCAUGCAAGUCGAACGCGAACGUCCUCUUCGGAGGGCUAUUAGAGUGGCGAAAGGGUGAGGAAUGCAUAGGCAACCUACCCUCAAGUUGGGGAUAACUCGCCGAAAGGCGGGCUAAUACCGAAUGUGGAUGCAUAGUCACAUAGCAAUGCAUUUAAAGGUGGGGACCCUUCGGGGCCUGCCGCUUGAGGAGGGACUUAUGCCCUAUUAGCUUGUUGGUGAGGUAACGGCUCACCAAGGCGAUGAUGGGUAGCCGGUCUGAGAGGAUGGCCGGUCACACUGGGACUGAGACACUGCCCAGACUCCUACGGGAGGCUGCAGUCGAGAAUCAUUCGCAAUGGGCGAAAGCCUGACGAUGCGACGCCGCGUGCGGGAGGAAGGCCCUCGGGUUGUAAACCGCUGUCAAGAGUUAUGAACCGCGGUCCGGUUAAUACCCGGGCCGUCUGACAAAGGCUCUAAAGGAAGCUCCGGCUAACUCCGUGCCAGCAGCCGCGGUAAGACGGAGGGAGCAAGCGUUGUUCGGUAUCACUGGGCAUAAAGCGCGUGUAGGCGGGCCGAUCAGUCAGAAGUGAAAGCCCCCGGCUUAACCGGGGAAGUGCUUUUGAAACUGUCGGUCUUGAGUGCAGGAGGGGAGAGUGGAACUCCUGGUGGAGCGGUGAAAUGCGUAGAUAUCAGGAGGAACGCCAGUGGCGAAAGCGGCUCUCUGGCCUGCCACUGACGCUGAGACGCGAAAGCUAGGGGAGCAAACAGGAUUAGAUACCCUGGUAGUCCUAGCCGUAAACGAUGGGCACUAAGUAGUGGGGGCUCCGAUGUUCUCACUGCCGAAGCAAAUGUGCUAAGUGCCCCGCCUGGGGAGUACGGUCGCAAGGCUAAAACUCAAAGUAAUUGACGGGGGCUCGCACAAGCGGUGGAGGAUGUUGUUUAAUUCGAAACAACGCGAAGAACCUUACCGGGAUUUGACAUCCAGGUGGUAGCGAACCGAAAGGGGAGCCACCCGGGAAACCGGGAGCCUGGACAGGUGUUGCACGGCUGUCGUCAGCUCGUGUCGUGAGAUGUAGGGUUAAGUCCCACAACGAGCGAAACCCCUAUCCCUAGUUGCCAGCGGGUCAUGCCGGGGACUCUAGGGAGACUGCCUGUGGUUAACCAGGAGGAAGGUGGGGACGACGUCAAGUCAUCAUGGCCCUUACGUCCCGGGCCACAAACGUCCUACAAUGGGUGGCACAAAGAGAUGCAAGACCGUAAGGUGGAGCCAACCUCAAAAGCCAUCCCCAGUUCGGAUUGAGGGCUGAAAUUCGCCCUCAUGAAGCCGGAAUCGCUAGUAAUCGCGGAUCAGCUAUGCCGCGGUGAAUGUGUUCCCGAGCCUUGUACACACCGCCCGUCAAGCCACGAAAGUCGGGAGUGCCUGAAGUCGCUAGCCCAACCCGCAAGGGGGGGCGGCGCCCACGGUAAGACCGGCGAUUGGGACUAAGUCGAAACAAGGUA
RNAcentral lists this ribosomal RNA (1500 nucleotides) under metagenome. RNAcentral's name for it is "bacterial SSU rRNA". It matches the Rfam family "Bacterial small subunit ribosomal RNA". The record is from RNAcentral.